Molecule: ribosomal RNA, 130 nt
Filed under: Paralycambes pronotalis
Lineage: Eukaryota; Metazoa; Arthropoda; Insecta; Hemiptera; Coreidae
Description: partial large subunit ribosomal RNA
Rfam family: Eukaryotic large subunit ribosomal RNA
Source: RNAcentral
CUCGACCUCAGAUCAGGUGGGACUCCCCGCCGAAUUUAAGCAUAUUAGUAAGCGGAGGAAAAGAAACUAACGAGGAUUCCCCCAGUAGCUGCGAGCGAACAGGGAAGAGCCCAGCACUGAAUCCCAAAGG